Long non-coding RNA from Mus musculus (house mouse), 369 nucleotides. RefSeq annotates it as predicted gene, 32651. The transcript is spliced from 4 exons. NCBI's taxonomy places the organism in Eukaryota, Metazoa, Chordata, Mammalia, Rodentia, Muridae. The record is from RefSeq and is a predicted model, not a curated record.
ACUGUCAGAAAGAACUGAGCCCUAAAGAGAAAAGAACAACCACCCUAUGAACCCCCUCCCUCUAAACAAGAGUGCAGACAGAAAAUAUUGGUUAAACUGAGAGGAAUUGAAGCAGAUCAGUCAGUACUUUUUCUGUGCACAACAUAUCCAAUGUUGUGGCAUUAAGAUGCAGGAAGAGUGCUAUAUUAAUUGUCUUUCCUUGCCUUCUAUUGUGAACAUCUGGUGGUUGUACUGCCAGCCGUAUAGCAGGACAUCCCAUUGCGACAAUAUGGUUUACUCUGCCCCAUUGUAGUCUCUCCUCACCCAGCCUGAAACCUACUUGCUCAGGGGUGGAGCUUGCCGCUCAAUUGUUCUGCCACGCCCACUGCU